This is a non-coding RNA of Ataeniobius toweri, 72 nucleotides long. The record is from the annotation of a GenBank genome assembly. NCBI's taxonomy places the organism in Eukaryota, Metazoa, Chordata, Actinopteri, Cyprinodontiformes, Goodeidae.
GCACGGUGGCGCAGUUGGUAGCACUGUUGCCUUGCAGCAGGAAGGGCCUGGGUUCGAUUCCCAGCAUGGGCU